Mustela putorius furo (domestic ferret) is the source of this 120-nucleotide small nucleolar RNA. Its record names the gene SNORA70. It matches the Rfam family "Small nucleolar RNA SNORA70". Rfam says of the family: snoRNA U70 seems to be exclusive to mammals and is a member of the H/ACA class of snoRNA which contain H (ANANNA) and ACA box motifs. H/ACA box snoRNAs are involved in the conversion of uridines to pseudouridines (5-ribosyluracil) a constituent of structural RNAs (transfer, ribosomal, small nuclear, and small nucleolar). NCBI's taxonomy places the organism in Eukaryota, Metazoa, Chordata, Mammalia, Carnivora, Mustelidae. The record is from Ensembl.
UUGAAAACAUUUAAGAUCUACAAUCUUCCCAGUGUGCCAUGGCUGCAAACAGUAGCCUCCUCGGUAGUGUAUGCAGCCUGUUGAUUGUAUGGGUUGCCCUAAGGGACCUUGGAGACAGCC